This 792-nucleotide long non-coding RNA is filed under the name Coturnix japonica (Japanese quail). Its description in RNAcentral is "lncRNA (ENSCJPG00005016053.1)". Lineage: Eukaryota; Metazoa; Chordata; Aves; Galliformes; Phasianidae. The record is from RNAcentral.
AGUAAUUCUCACUGCUUCUCUGUGAUACUGAUUAUUUCAGAGAUACUUACACUGAGAUAAAGAAAGAAGCCAACUGUCCAAUGGUAUCUCCAUGGCAAACAGACAGGAGUGCCUCAGUUCUCAGCUCACUGACCUUGUUCCUACAAGCUGAAGAUACAGACAUGGGGACCCUACCCACCAGGAAGGACAUCUGGACUAAAGAGAACAAGAAUACAGAUUGAUCUCUGCCAGGACAGGCACUGCCAGCAAUGAAAAUCAGUUAAAAAGAAGGCAGAAGAGAAUGGGUUGGUGUAUGCCUUGAAGAUGCAUCCCAUUAAUGGGAUACCUUUGGCAGCAGUGACCUCAGAAAACAUUAGGGAAGCAACAGUAGGUAUCAAGUAUAGCAGGUUUUAAUGCCUUUUACUGUACCUCCAAAAGUCAACAAAAUUAAGUAGAAGAUAAAUUGAAGCAGUAAUCCUAACAGCUCAAUUGAUAAUGCUUUUCUUAUUGCCUUUUUUUCUUCUUUUCUAAAAUGAAUAUUUCUUAACUUAGGAAAAAAAAGCAGGAGGCCUUUGUUCAGUGCUUAACACACUGCUACCCACUUUGUGGAUACAUACCACCUCCUGCACACUCUUGAGAGGCUGUUUCACAAUGCAAACAAGUAUUGCCGAUACUGACAAUUCCAGCACUCAAAAGCACAAGUGACGCAUUAAAAAUGCUCAGACUUAAUACCAUACAUUAAUGAAUUUCAAUUUGCCAUUUGGAUAUGGAUUUAAUUCAGAUGCUAAGCUGCCAAGAAGGCAUGCCUUCAUC